CUUCCGGUUGAUCUCGCCGGACCCGACUGCUAUCAGAGUGGGACUAAGCCAUGCGAGUCAACAUAGCAAUAUGUGGCAUACGGCUCAGUAACACGUAGUCAACAUGCCCAGGGGACGUGGAUAACCUCGGGAAACUGAGGAUAAACCACGAUAGGUCAUCACUUCUGGAAUGGGUAAUGACUUAAAUCUAUAUGGCCCCUGGAUUGGACUGCGGCCGAUCAGGCUGUUGGUGAGGUAAUGGCCCACCAAACCUGUAACCGGUACGGGCUCUGAGAGGAGGAGCCCGGAGAUGGGCACUGAGACAAGGGCCCAGGCCCUAUGGGGCGCAGCAGGCGCGAAACCUCUGCAAUAGGCGAAAGCUUGACAGGGUUACUCUGAGUGAUUUCCGUUAAGGAGAUCUUUUGGCACCUCUAAAAAUGGUGCAGAAUAAGGGGUGGGCAAGUCUGGUGUCAGCCGCCGCGGUAAUACCAGCACCCCGAGUGGUCGGGACGUUUAUUGGGCCUAAAGCAUCCGUAGCCGGUUCUACAAGUCUUCCGUUAAAUCCACCUGCUUAACAGAUGGGCUGCGGAAGAUACUAUAGAGCUAGGAGGCGGGAGAGGCAAGCGGUACUCGAUGGGUAGGGGUAAAAUCCGUUGAUCCAUUGAAGACCACCAGUGGCGAAGGCGGCUUGCCAGAACGCGCUCGACGGUGAGGGAUGAAAGCUGGGGGAGCAAACCGGAUUAGAUACCCGGGUAGUCCCAGCUGUAAACGAUGCAGACUCGGUGAUGAGUUGGCUUAUUGCUAACUCAGUGCCGCAGGGAAGCCGUUAAGUUUGCCGCCUGGGGAGUACGGUCGCAAGACUGAAACUUAAAGGAAUUGCGGGGGGAGCA
RNAcentral lists this ribosomal RNA (869 nucleotides) under uncultured archaeon. Its description in RNAcentral is "bacterial SSU rRNA". It matches the Rfam family "Archaeal small subunit ribosomal RNA", at positions 1 to 878 of the family's 1478-position model. The record is from RNAcentral.